This 253-nucleotide ribosomal RNA is filed under the name uncultured bacterium. RNAcentral's name for it is "partial 16S ribosomal RNA". It matches the Rfam family "Bacterial small subunit ribosomal RNA", at positions 524 to 776 of the family's 1533-position model. The record is from RNAcentral.
UACGAAGGGGGCUAGCGUUGCUCGGAAUCACUGGGCGUAAAGCGCACGUAGGCGGCUUUCUAAGUCAGGGGUGAAAUCCUGGAGCUCAACUCCAGAACUGCCUUUGAUACUGGAGAGCUUGAGUCCGGAAGAGGUGAGUGGAACUCCGAGUGUAGAGGUGAAAUUCGUAGAUAUUCGGAAGAACACCAGUGGCGAAGGCGGCUCACUGGUCCGGUACUGACGCUGAGGUGCGAAAGCGUGUGGAGCAAACAGG